GAAUAUUGGACAAUGGGGGGAACCCUGAUCCAGCCAUGCCGCGUGUGUGAAGAGGGCCUUUUGGUUGUAAAGCACUUUAAGCGAGGAGGAGGCUACUCUAGUUAAUACCUAGGGAUAGUGGACGUUACUCGCAGAAUAAGCACCGGCUAACUUCGUGCCAGCAGCCGCGGUAAUACGAAGGGUGCAAGCGUUAAUCGGAAUUACUGGGCGUAAAGCGCGCGUAGGUGGUUUGUUAAGUUGGAAGUGAAAGCCCCGGGCUCAACCUGGGAACUGCUUUCAAAACUGGCAAGCUAGAGUAUGGGAGAGGAUGGUAGAAUUCCAGGUGUAGCGGUGAAAUGCGUAGAGAUCUGGAGGAAUACCGAUGGCGAAGGCAGCCAUCUGGGCUAAUACUGACACUGAGGUGCGAAAGCAUGGGGAGCAAACA
Molecule: ribosomal RNA, 424 nt
Filed under: uncultured bacterium
Lineage: Bacteria
Description: partial 16S ribosomal RNA
Rfam family: Bacterial small subunit ribosomal RNA
Source: RNAcentral